UAAUGAACUUCGAGUUCAAUUGGAGGGCAAGUCUGGUGCCAGCAGCCGCGGUAAUUCCAGCUCCAAUAGCGUAUAUUAAAAUUGUUGCAGUUAAAAAGCUCGUAGUUGAAUUUCUGCUGCAUCGUCGCAUCUCUUGCUGAGUGCUUCGUUUCGGCUUAUUUCGGAUUGAUUUUUUCUUUCCGGAUGAUUACUUUGAGAAAAUUAGAGUGCUCAAAGCAGGCUUUUGCCUUGAAUAGUUUAGCAUGGAAUAAUAAAGUAGGACUUUGGUUCUAUUUUGUUGGUUUUAGGUACCAAAGUAAUGGUUAAUAGGAACAGUUGGGGGCAUUCGUAUUUAACUGUCAGAGGUGAAAUUCUUAGAUUUGUUAAAGACGAACUACUGCGAAAGCAUUUGCCAAGGAUGUUUUCAUUAAUCAAGAACGAAAGUUAGGGGAUCGAAGACGAUCAGAUACCGUCGUAGUCCUCC
This 463-nucleotide ribosomal RNA is filed under the name Theileria sinensis. Its description in RNAcentral is "SSU rRNA". It matches the Rfam family "Eukaryotic small subunit ribosomal RNA", at positions 528 to 1029 of the family's 1831-position model. Lineage: Eukaryota; Apicomplexa; Aconoidasida; Piroplasmida; Theileriidae. The record is from RNAcentral.